This is a long non-coding RNA of Cyprinus carpio carpio, 810 nucleotides long. NCBI's taxonomy places the organism in Eukaryota, Metazoa, Chordata, Actinopteri, Cypriniformes, Cyprinidae. The record is from Ensembl.
AAAACACCUGCUGCUCCUGCUGAGAGGAAGUGAGUGUAAAAACAGUCACAGGUAUUUUAGGAGAAACUGCUGAAGCAAAGUUGGUACUUUAAUGAAGUGUUUUGUCCUCAGUGUCCAGGUCUUGUUCUGUCAGUGUUUUCCGUCUGAUCCUCCGAUGGAUGCUCUUUUGAAAUGCUCUUCCUGGAGACAGGGGGUCUGGCUGCGCUCUGACCCAGAGGAAGAGGGGCCACGCGGGGCCACCGACCCCGUCCUGAGCCCAAGAGUCUGCACAGAGCCACACAAGGACAUGCAUCCAUCAGAGAACGGCUAAAUAAUAAUGCAUCAUAUUGCUGCCUUUAUUUUGGACUGCCUUCAUGUCAGGAGUGCAUCGGUGAUGCCUCAGGGCCAAACAUAUGCAAAGGAGCAGAGGACUUCAUAUUGACCAGAGGCUCGAUUAUCAGACGUGGGAUUGGGAUCACAGGCCAGCAGCAGCAGCCACGGAAAGUUUCCCAGUGAGGAUGGAGACGGAGCCGCUGAGGAAGUGGGGAGCCAUAUGGAGGAGAUCUGCUGAUUUUCCAAGUGUUCCAGAACCUGCUUAACUCAGACUGCAUCCUGUCUUGCUUUGGACUCACUAUCAAUAAUAUCCUCUGUGAGACUGUUAUCUGCAAUACAGAAAUCCAAUUCAUUCACUCAUUUUCUGCUAAAAAGUAUCACAAAAUUCCUUAAAUAAAAGAGUUUUUUCAUUUAUUUUGUUUAUCCUUACAAAGUGUAUCUUGAUGUGCAUGGUCUUUUAUAUCAGCAGUUUUGUUGCUACGUUUUGUAACACUUUAC